GGUACGCAAAGUCCGAUAAAUUCCCUCGAGUCACUUCAGUCUGUGUCGGUCGAGGCUGAAGACGAAGGCGAUGAAAAAGUUUGAAAAUGUGGAAAAAAAAUCUGGAUGUGCGGAGUUAAAAUGAAGUGAGGUUACAAGAUCUCUGUAGCGGCUAGCAGCUCCAGGCUACAUUAGCCGCUACUAGCAUAACACACCCAAACCUCCCACCAAACUGUCAGCAGUCAAGCUGUGUUGUGAGUAAUGUAGGAGCCAGAUUUUGACAAGAAGAAUGUGUGUAAUAAAAAAAGACCAUAUUUCUGGUUCUGCUGCUGAUUUUUUGAUCCUCUUAUUUAAACUAUUAUCUAAAUUGCUGGAUUACUCUUUUAAAGGAGUAAAUCUUUAGCUUAAGGAUGAACACCAGUCAGGUCGGUUUUUUUAGUUGUCUCAACCUGCAACGUCAGUCCGAAGUGCUACAGUUUAGUUUAUGGAAACUCAGUUACGGUAGUCAGAAACUGAAAUGUGUGCACAAGAGAGAAAGAAAGAGGAGACGAGCAUUUCCAUGAUACAUUGUGUGCAAAGUCUCAUGUACUUUUUCCACAGGAACUGUAGCAAACCGUGGUAGAAAUGCGGGGAAUGCUGCAGAACAGAGAAGAGAAGAUUCACUCUGCAUUGUUCAAGGCCCGUUCCGCUCCGUCUCUCCUGUAAACAGCCGUCGAGGGAGGAGAAACCCGAUAGCCUCACUUAGCUCUGAUCUGCUCUAACUGCAGAGAUCACAGACGGAGGGAUGGAGGGAAGAGGGAGAGAGGUUACACAAUGAGUAGAAGUGAAUGCUUUUCUUUUACCUUGAAGAGAUGUUGAACAUUUUACGUUGUCAUGUUAAGAUGAGAAGAUGAAGCUUCUUCUGCAAAGCAAAGAAGCUGCUUUAGUUAGACAAUAUUAACUGUAAGUGCUCUGUUAGUAUUAUAUAUGCAACACUUACAAAAGUCUAUAUUUUCAGGGAGUUUCCUUCUGCAAGAACUAUUCUACACUGGUGUGAAAUGUUCUAUUAACAGUCACGUUGAGGACUAGAUUUUAGUUCAGUUUAGUUAGAAAAUAAAUGACUUUAAUCAUCUUCCUUUUACCUUCUGUUAAAAAUA
Thunnus maccoyii (southern bluefin tuna) is the source of this 1115-nucleotide long non-coding RNA. RefSeq lists it as uncharacterized. NCBI's taxonomy places the organism in Eukaryota, Metazoa, Chordata, Actinopteri, Scombriformes, Scombridae. The record is from RefSeq and is a predicted model, not a curated record. The transcript has 2 exons.